UUAUGACUUAAGAGGCAACUCUUAACUGGCCAGGUAAGGAAAAGCCGAGAGGUUCAAGCUUACAGGGCAGAAAACUCUGGAAAGUAGCGCUUAACAUACCAGGGUGGCGGGUUCGGCGGUAGCGCAUACAACGACGAACCAA
Molecule: non-coding RNA, 142 nt
Filed under: unclassified sequences
Description: IMES-2 RNA motif
Rfam family: IMES-2 RNA motif
Source: Rfam by way of RNAcentral